UGCCGCGUGNGUGAAGAAGNUNUUCGGAUUGUAAAGCACUUUAAGUUGGGAGGAAGGGCAUUAACCUAAUACGUUAGUGUUUUGACGUUACCGACAGAAUAAGCACCGGCUAACUCUGUGCCAGCAGCCGCGGUAAUACAGAGGGUGCAAGCGUUAAUCGGAAUUACUGGGCGUAAAGCG
Molecule: ribosomal RNA, 180 nt
Filed under: uncultured Pseudomonas sp.
Lineage: Bacteria; Pseudomonadati; Pseudomonadota; Gammaproteobacteria; Pseudomonadales; Pseudomonadaceae
Description: partial 16S ribosomal RNA
Rfam family: Bacterial small subunit ribosomal RNA
Source: RNAcentral